AUAUGAACUAAAAUACACUUUAGAUCUGAAAAUAAAAACUUACAUCCAUCUGAUCGAUGCUGCAUUCUAGAUUUAACUAUUAGAACUAAUAAAAUGAUCAAGAGACUUUAGAAACCAUUACCAAAAUGAAAGAAUCUUGAUCUUUGCCAGUCCAAUGCUUGAAAAAGCUUUCCUUCAGAGUGCUCGCAGCCACACGAAGUCAUUUGGCCUCUACAGCACAUCCACAUGAAGACAGGUGCAGAUCAGGGACCUUGGAAGUGCUAGCUUGCAAGAAACUUAGAGGCUGAUUUCUUCCUUCUUCUUCAAGAGCCUUGGAUGCUCCAAAGUAUGAAGAGAUCUAGAGGAGGA
RNAcentral lists this long non-coding RNA (348 nucleotides) under Elaeis guineensis (African oil palm). RNAcentral describes it as "long non-coding RNA (EGUI_LNC045772)". The record is from RNAcentral. Lineage: Eukaryota; Viridiplantae; Streptophyta; Magnoliopsida; Arecales; Arecaceae.